UUCUUUUCUACACUCUUAAAAAUAAAGAUGCUUCAAAGGGUUUUCACAGCGAUGCCAUAGCGAAGAACCAUUUUUGGCUCC
This is a long non-coding RNA of Sinocyclocheilus rhinocerous, 81 nucleotides long. RefSeq lists it as uncharacterized. The record is from RefSeq and is a predicted model, not a curated record. NCBI's taxonomy places the organism in Eukaryota, Metazoa, Chordata, Actinopteri, Cypriniformes, Cyprinidae. The transcript is spliced from 3 exons.